Molecule: long non-coding RNA, 695 nt
Organism: Dicentrarchus labrax (European seabass)
Lineage: Eukaryota; Metazoa; Chordata; Actinopteri; Moronidae
Exons: 2
Source: RefSeq, a predicted model, not a curated record
UGCUGAAAGAAGAAUAACUUUUUCCCCAGAUAGAAACAGGGUCAUGGGUUUUUGAACACGCACAACAGAAAGAUUCCCACAUACCUACCAGAGCCUGAAAAGAGCAAAUAUGGGAUGCAGUGACUAAGUCUCAGAUUUCUAGGCCAAGAAACAAGAGUCUCCAAUUAGAGUCCCUAAUCCACCUGACUUUGAGAAGAAACCCACAGAAAUAUGGAAGGAAACACCAAACAUGCCAAGAUGCCACCUGUGUAUGAAAAUAUCAGUAUAUGAAACUUUAGAAUCCAGUCUGCCGUUUCUGUUGCCAGACCUCAUAAAAAAAGAUGGGAGCUGUGAUUUCAAGAAAAUCUUCACGUGCAGCAGCGGAAAGCAGGGAGAAACCUUAGUGAAUGACAAAGAGGAUAUUUGAAAAGAAACAGGAACUUGUAAUGCAAAAUUACCUUAAGAUGCAGUUCCGUAUGUUCAUGCUGGUUUUAUUAAAGUCUCUCAGAAAGUGUUUUUCCAUUAGAGGGAUUAGAGGUCUCAUUUCUUCUAAUGUGUAUUUUUGUAGCAAUUUCAAAAGUAAUUGUUCUAUUAGGAAUAUAUAAAGACUAAAAAUGUCACCAAUAUUACAUCAAGGUUUUCUACAGACCAUGUUUCAGUGUGUAUGAAUGACCAAAUGUUCUGUUAGCCAAUAAAUACUUCACUUCUCGCUGUCA